Molecule: small nuclear RNA, 140 nt
Organism: Canis lupus familiaris (dog)
Lineage: Eukaryota; Metazoa; Chordata; Mammalia; Carnivora; Canidae
Product: U4 spliceosomal RNA
Exons: 1
Source: RefSeq, a predicted model, not a curated record
AGCUGUGCGCACUGGCAGUAUCGUAGCCAAUGAGGUUUAUCUGAGGUGCGAUUAUUGCUAAUAGAAACACAGCAGUAGAGUAAAGGUGAUAAACCUGAGAUGCAGAGGGCGGGCAGAAUCAAUACAUAGUAAAGAGUGAC